This 385-nucleotide long non-coding RNA is filed under the name Chlamydomonas reinhardtii. RNAcentral describes it as "long non-coding RNA (CREI_LNC000059)". The record is from RNAcentral. Lineage: Eukaryota; Viridiplantae; Chlorophyta; Chlorophyceae; Chlamydomonadales; Chlamydomonadaceae.
GCAAUACUGUGAGCCUCUUGAAGCGUGACCUACAAAACAAAAACGCUGCACUGCUCAUCCUGGGCACUGGCCUUCUCGCAGCCAGCUCAACCGUUCCAGGUACCCUGCCAGUCGCAUUCAACCAUCGGAGUCCCCCCCCCCCAAAGCCCGAUCCAUCGUCCAUUCCCGCACUCGCUGCCUUGUGCGCUAUGCCGCGCCACUUAAGACGCCAGCAGCUUGCCCAUGAACCGCAUCCACAGCGACUGGUAGCCGGGCAGCAGCAUCUCAGGGACCAGGCGUAGGAAGGUGAAGGCGCGCAACGACGGCAGCACUUCGGGCGGGGCCGGCGACAGGCACGUGCUGUACGCUCCGUUCAGGUCUGUGGAGCCGUGCGGCGUCACCGCCG